UUAAAUGAAUGAGUGCACCCUGCUGUUGCAGCGUCUUCAGUGUGAUAAGCAUCUUCACUGGAACAAAGUUCCUUAGGGACACGAAUGCAUUGCAGGCCCUGUGCUGGCAAACUGUCUUUGGACAAAUAACUUGACAAUUUGACCUCAAAUCGGGUGGGACUACCCGCUGAACUUAAGCAUAUCAAUAAGCGGAGGAAAAGAAACUAACAAGGAUUCCCCUAGUAACGGCGAGUGAAGAGGGAAAAGCUCAAAUUUUGAAUCUGGUGUCUUUGGCGCCCGAGUUGUAAUCUAGAGAAGUGUUUUCUGCCUCGGACCACACAUAAAUUCCCUGGAAUGGGGUGUCAUAGAGGGUGAGAAUCCCGUUUGUGGUGUGGACUACCUUGGCUCUGUGAUACACUCUCAACGAGUCGAGUUGUUUGGGAAUGCAGCUCAAAAUGGGUGGUAAAUUCCAUCUAAAGCUAAAUAUUGGCGAGAGACCGAUAGCGAACAAGUACCGUGAGGGAAAGAUGAAAAGCACUUUGGAAAGAGAGUGAAACAGUACGUGAAAUUGUUGAAAGGGAAGCGUUUGAAGUCAGUCACAUUGGUCGGAAUUCAGCCUGGCUUCUGCCUGGUGUACUUUCUGGCAAAUGGGUCAGUGUCAAUUUUGAUCGAGAGAGAAAGACUUGAGGAAUGUGGCUGUCUUUGGGCAGUGUUAUAGCCUCUUGUUGUAUGUCUCGGUUGGGAUUGAGGAAUGCAGCACGCCUUUUGGC
This 749-nucleotide ribosomal RNA is filed under the name uncultured Sebacinaceae. RNAcentral describes it as "eukaryotic LSU rRNA". The stretch from base 140 to 749 matches the Rfam family "Eukaryotic large subunit ribosomal RNA", at positions 1 to 613 of the family's 3401-position model. The record is from RNAcentral. Lineage: Eukaryota; Fungi; Basidiomycota; Agaricomycetes; Sebacinales; Sebacinaceae.